GGAGAUGGCGUUCCAGGUUCAGAAACGUCCUGUAGAGAAGAAACUGAGACUUCAACAUCUCCUCCUCUUCUUUGGUUGUGCCUCUAUGUUGCAGUCCCAGACCUUCAAGAUUUCUUUUAAUGGCUGCCUUCGGAUUAAUCAGUAACGCCACAUCUUUCGGAAUUGCCUCCAGUGAUUAAGUACUCCACUGCUCUUUCCAGUCCAGGUUAGCAUUGAAGUUCCGUUUUCAAUUCCUUCAGCUUCUUCUCUAUUGCUUCUACUCUGACUUCUAUCUUCUUCUCGGCCAUUAGAUCGAAUGUGCUCUGAUACCACUUUGAUAUAACUUCGCAAGAAGAAAAUAAGAAUAGAGAAUAUCGAGAAUAUUGAUUGUAUUGCAUAAGAACAAUUACAAUAGAUGAACUUAUAAAACUUGGUCACACUCAAUAUUUGCCUACUCUACUGAGCCUCCCUCCCCUCUUAUUUGUAGCAAUUAUUCCCUAACUACUUUUCCCCCCAUUUGCCAUGUAAUUGCUGUUAUUCCCCCUUCUUCUAGUUGCUUCUCACUCCUUGUUUCAUCUAGAAUGAGCGAGGUGGAGGGAGCCUAUUUCUUGUUUGGUGUGCAACGAGGGUGUCUUGGUCACUCACCAGACACCAUAAAUGCCUGGCAUGUAGUGUUUGAUUGGAAGUAUCAACAAUGACGGACGUAGACAUUUUAAAUUAGGGGCAACAAUCAAACUUGCAAAAAAGUUGUGGCCAAUUUGCCAACCAUAGGCUCGAAUGUAGUUACUCCACAUUAAUGUAUUGAAAUUCUCAAUUAUCUUUUUUUAAAUCUAUCAUUCUCAUGGCUUGACAAUUGUGGCAAUUCAGACUCAUAUUUUAUGCUAC
Molecule: long non-coding RNA, 864 nt
Filed under: Olea europaea subsp. europaea
Lineage: Eukaryota; Viridiplantae; Streptophyta; Magnoliopsida; Lamiales; Oleaceae
Source: RNAcentral